UCUGUGUUUUCUCAAACUUAACUACUACUUAACUUGUAAUCUGAAAUUAGAGAUUGUGGCACACGAUGCUGAAGUUUGACCUUGGCCAUCGGGAAGAAGUUGUGCGGUGUGACAUUAUGAGAAUUGGCAAGCAGACUCCUCUCCAGCUGAGCUUGUCACGAGAUUGUGCUUGCUGGCAUCAAGCUAUGGACUUGCUA
Long non-coding RNA from Triticum dicoccoides, 197 nucleotides. RefSeq lists it as uncharacterized. The transcript is spliced from 2 exons. NCBI's taxonomy places the organism in Eukaryota, Viridiplantae, Streptophyta, Magnoliopsida, Poales, Poaceae. The record is from RefSeq and is a predicted model, not a curated record.